UAACCUUGGUGACAUGGGAUACAAAACAUUGUCUAAAUACUAUCAAGAGCUCCUCCCUGAUGGGUCUAAUUCUCCAGUUUCAUCCAAUUCUGGCUGGAAAGUUGGUAGACUUGCAGGAUCGGACAUGUAUAAUGCAGGGAUGGUAGUUGUCAAGGAUUUUGUUUCUCGAGCUGUUAUAUCACAAUUUAAAGCUCAUACCAGUCCCAUAGCUGCACUGUGUUUUGACUGACCCUAGUGGGACCUUGCUUGUUACUGCUUCAAUUUAUGGAAAUAACAUAAAUAUUUUCCGUAUUAUGCCAUCCUGUUCACGGACUGGAUCAGGUGCA
RNAcentral lists this unclassified non-coding RNA (326 nucleotides) under Hevea brasiliensis (rubber tree). The record is from RNAcentral. Lineage: Eukaryota; Viridiplantae; Streptophyta; Magnoliopsida; Malpighiales; Euphorbiaceae.